Molecule: long non-coding RNA, 1435 nt
Filed under: Equus caballus (horse)
Lineage: Eukaryota; Metazoa; Chordata; Mammalia; Perissodactyla; Equidae
Description: lncRNA (ENSECAG00000044384.1)
Source: RNAcentral
GCUUGGUGCUGGCAUCCAGGUCUGCAGGCCUAGAGCGUGAGGGGGAACUGCCAGUCUCUGGAAAUACUCUUUUCAAGGACAGUCUAUUUCACGCCGACACGUGUGGUCAUGGCGUUCCUCCGAGCCCAGGACCUUUAGAUCACCUGUCUCUCAGUUGCCUCUGACUCUCAGAACCUAUUUGCGAAUCUCCAGGUCCUUCCAAAUUUAAUUCCUCUGUCUAACUUUGCUGUCGGAGAGUACCGGAUCCCCAGCAGCACAUUCUGAAAUAGCAACUUUUUCUGAAGUCCUAUAUACGGGAGAUUCUAGCUACAGAAUUAAACUUGUCCUCAGGGCUUUCCACACCCUUCCUUCUGUGAAAAGCUUUUCUUCUGGCGGAGCCACAAGCAAGAAACAGUCUCAGAGCCUGCCGACGCCAGCCCCUUCAUCUGACUGAUCUGCAUCGCCGCUCUUCCCCAGGGCCCCACGGCCCAGCCUGGCAGAAGCCCUGUCUCUCACUGAGGCCGUGCCUGCAGACUCCUUCUGUCCCCACGGGCUGCAAACCCUGCUCUCGGUGGAGCUCAGAACAAUCGUUUUAAAAUGCAAAUCAAAUCCAGCCCCGCCCUGGUUUACGACCCCUCCGCUGGCUCCCCACUGUGACGGAACAAGGUAGAAUCCCUGUGCGAGCCGCUGGCCUUCACACACCUCACCUCGGAGACCCGCCAGGCUGCCCGACUCAGGCCCCGCCCGGCUUCCCUCACCUGCGGGCUCGCCCCCCACCCCGCCCAGCCGUGUUCCCUCACCAGCUCCUUCUCUUAAUUCCCCUCAACGUCUCCCCAAGGUGCCUUCACUGACCGACUUGCCGAAGUGCUCCCUCCUUAUUCUCCUUGACGGCUUCCUAUUCCUGUCCUUUUAAUAAUUAUUAGACCCUGUGCUUGCUUGUUUAUUGUCUCCCUCUGCCAGCUGACUGAAAACUCCACGUGGGCAUGGACCACGAGAGCUGGCAUCGCGAAUGCCCAGUUCAGGGACCUGCCAAAGCCCCAGAGGUCUUUGCUUGACCAAACUUGAGUCAGACUCCGGAAGCUUCUCCUGGGCCCAUCUGUGCAAUUCCCUGUAAAGCCCAGUUUUCGCAAGAACCCUGCUACGUCGGUUUCACCUGAACCCCCCUCGAUAUCUGACCAACCUCAGUAUCUGAGCAGGGUCCGUACCCUCCGCCAUCCUCCCUGUGACACCCUCCCGCCUGUCUCCAGUAAGAACCCUGGGAGGUCGGUUUAGCCCAACCCCCUCCCUCUGAGGUUUCCUCCUAAUUAUUUUUCCCCCCACUGACCCCCACCUGCUUCUCGGCUAUAAACCCUCACUUCCCACGCUGUAUUCAAAGUUGAGCCCAGUCUCUCGUCCCCACUGAAAAUUCUGUCCCAGUGGUCCCCACCCAUCAUGGUGGUCCUGAAUAAAGUCUGCC